CCUCUAUGUCACCUACAGUAUCAGCAGUGCGCCAGGGCCGCGUCAGGCACGAUUCUGGUUGUGUCAGCUGCAGGGCGGGAUUUGCGCUGAACGCGGAGACUUCCGCCACUUAAUAUGUUCGUUUGGAAACACGAAAAUUUACCUAUGUUCCGCAAACAAAAUAUUGCAUUCGGUCAUUCGGUACACACGUGCACCGUACCGAAAGCCCUGUACCGAAACGGUCCGGUACGAAUACACGUACCGUUGCGGUCCGUCAGUGUGUUCAAGGAGCGGUGCGUCUGCAGCAGUGCAGCGAUUGUUAACGUACUGAGUCUAUUUUUGCUGU
This is a long non-coding RNA of Carassius carassius (crucian carp), 325 nucleotides long. RefSeq lists it as uncharacterized. The transcript has 3 exons. Lineage: Eukaryota; Metazoa; Chordata; Actinopteri; Cypriniformes; Cyprinidae. The record is from RefSeq and is a predicted model, not a curated record.